This 127-nucleotide small RNA is filed under the name Marmota monax (woodchuck). The record is from RNAcentral. Lineage: Eukaryota; Metazoa; Chordata; Mammalia; Rodentia; Sciuridae.
GCUGGGCGUGGUGCAGCAUGCCUGUAAUCCCAGUGACUUGGGAGGCUGAGUCUGAAGGAUCUCAAGUUCAAAGCCAACUUUAGCAACUUAGUGAGGCCCUGAACAACUUAGCACGAUCCUGUCUCAA